This 77-nucleotide transfer RNA is filed under the name Acidimicrobiia bacterium. RNAcentral describes it as "tRNA-Ile". It matches the Rfam family "tRNA". From Rfam's summary of the family: Transfer RNA (tRNA) molecules are approximately 80 nucleotides in length. Their secondary structure includes four short double-helical elements and three loops (D, anti-codon, and T loops). Further hydrogen bonds mediate the characteristic L-shaped molecular structure. tRNAs have two regions of fundamental functional importance: the anti-codon, which is responsible for specific mRNA codon recognition, and the 3' end, to which the tRNAs corresponding amino acid is attached (by aminoacyl-tRNA synthetases). tRNAs cope with the degeneracy of the genetic code in two manners: having more than one tRNA (with a specific anti-codon) for a particular amino acid; and 'wobble' base-pairing, i.e. permitting non-standard base-pairing at the 3rd anti-codon position. Lineage: Bacteria; Bacillati; Actinomycetota; Acidimicrobiia. The record is from RNAcentral.
GGGCCUGUAGCUCAGUUGGUCAGAGCAAGCGACUCAUAAUCGCUCGGUCGCGGGUUCAAGUCCCGCCGGGCCCACCA